UUUCCGUAGGUGAACCUGCGGAAGGAUCAUUCAUAAUAAGUGUUUUAUGGCACUUUUCUAAAUCCAUAUCCACCUUGUGUGCAAUGUCAGGGUUGAUUUUUCUCUCGAGAGGAUCAGCCCCAAACAUCAACUAUAUCUCAACUCUUUGUCUGAAAAAUAUUAUGGAUAAAACAAUUCAAAAUAAACUUUCAACAACGGAUCUCUUGGCUCUC
This 212-nucleotide unclassified non-coding RNA is filed under the name plant metagenome. RNAcentral describes it as "partial contains small subunit ribosomal RNA, internal transcribed spacer 1, and 5.8S ribosomal RNA". The record is from RNAcentral.